This 251-nucleotide ribosomal RNA is filed under the name uncultured bacterium. RNAcentral describes it as "partial 16S ribosomal RNA". It matches the Rfam family "Bacterial small subunit ribosomal RNA", at positions 80 to 339 of the family's 1533-position model. The record is from RNAcentral.
UCGGACAUGAGUAGAGUGGCGAACGGGUGAGUAACACGUAAGAAUCUACCUAUCAGUGAAGAAUACCUUCGGGAAACCGAGGUUAAUACUGCAUACGUCCUACGGGAGAAAGGAGGCCUCUUGCUUCCGCUGAUAGAUGAGCUUGCGGACUAUUAGUUUGUUGGUGAGGUAAUGGCUCACCAAGACGAUGAUGGAUAGCCGGCCUGAGAGGGUGACCGGCCACAUUGGGACUGAGAUACGGCCCAGACUCC